AUCAGCCUUUCGGGUGCGAUUCUGUGGAGUGUGAGGAGCUUAACACCUUCAUGCUUUGCAUAUUUGUGCUCUUGGGUGUACUUGCCCGUGUGGUUGGUUAACAUCAAUUUUGGUGGUCAUAAAAUGACUGGAGGAAUGUAGCUUCGAUCUCGUAUUGAAGUGUUAUAGCCUUCGGUAGAUGUGAUGAUCGAGAUUGAGGAUUGCAACGGAUACCCUUCGGGGCUACCUGUCUGGUCUCUGAUCGUUGCCCUGGUGCCGAAAGCUUGCUUACGGUUAUCAAAGUCGAUGGUCAAUAGGUUAGAACGGGUUAAAUUCGUUAAGGAUGUUGACGUAAUGGCUUU
This 341-nucleotide ribosomal RNA is filed under the name uncultured Glomeromycotina. RNAcentral's name for it is "eukaryotic LSU rRNA". The record is from RNAcentral. Lineage: Eukaryota; Fungi; Glomeromycota.